Molecule: ribosomal RNA, 497 nt
Filed under: uncultured bacterium
Lineage: Bacteria
Description: partial 16S ribosomal RNA
Rfam family: Bacterial small subunit ribosomal RNA
Source: RNAcentral
GAUGAACGCUGGCGGCGUGCCUAAUACAUGCAAGUCGAGUGAACAGACGAGGAGCUUGCUCCUCUGACGUUAGCGGCGGACGGGUGAGUAACACGUGGAUAACCUACCUAUAAGACUGGGAUAACUUCGGGAAACCGGAGCUAAUACCGGAUAAUAUAUUGAACCGCAUGGUUCAAUAGUGAAAGACGGUUUUGCUGUCACUUAUAGAUGGAUCCGCGCCGCAUUAGCUAGUUGGUAAGGUAACGGCUUACCAAGGCAACGAUGCGUAGCCGACCUGAGAGGGUGAUCGGACACACUGGAACUGAGACACGGUCCAGACUCCUACGGGAGGCAGCAGUAGGGAAUCUUCCGCAAUGGGCGAAAGCCUGACGGAGCAACGCCGCGUGAGUGAUGAAGGUCUUCGGAUCGUAAAACUCUGUUAUUAGGGAAGAACAAAUGUGUAAGUAACUAUGCACGUCUUGACGGUACCCAAUCAGAAAGCCACGGCUAACUACGUG